Taeniopygia guttata (zebra finch) is the source of this 562-nucleotide non-coding RNA. The record is from RefSeq and is a predicted model, not a curated record. NCBI's taxonomy places the organism in Eukaryota, Metazoa, Chordata, Aves, Passeriformes, Estrildidae.
GCCCAAGGCCAGCACAAAGCGUAGCUGGUGGAGCCCUUUUGGCAGCUGUCCCAGUGAGCAUAUUUCUGAGCUCAGCUGGACAGGAGUCCUGGUCCUAAAUGUGCUUUGAUUGCUUUGCUCCUCUCCAAAGGCUGUUUCUCCCAGCUGUAAGCAGAGUUUGCUGAAGCAAGAAGCAGGUUGCUAAGCCUGAUUUGGAUGCUGUUUGGUCCUUAGUGGAGCUGAUGGAACUCAUCUUGUUAAAAGCCAGCUGAGCUGAGACCAUGCACAGUCUCUUGGUGUCUUUUCUUCUGUUGCCUCUCUGAUCCCUGAGCAAAGAGCACAGUCUUAGCAACCCAGCCUCUGCAGGGAAGUCCAAGAAAGGCCAAACCUCCAGGAUCAUGCCGUACUUGUUGGAGGGGACAGGGAAGAACCAUCUGCCUCCAGGAUUCUUACUCCAGCAGUGGCAAACACUGAGGCCUGGGGAAAAGGAGCAGAAGUUGGCCAAUAUAGAGAUGCCUCCCCAGGCCUCCAAGACAAGUUGAAAAUGGUGGAUUUUGUGAGUUGGCCAAAAUUUACUACGAAA